This 1343-nucleotide ribosomal RNA is filed under the name uncultured bacterium. RNAcentral describes it as "16S ribosomal RNA". It matches the Rfam family "Bacterial small subunit ribosomal RNA", at positions 28 to 1378 of the family's 1533-position model. The record is from RNAcentral.
GACGAACGCUGUCGGCGUGCUUAACACAUGCAAGUCGAACGGAAAGGCCCUGCUUUUGUGGGGUGCUCGAGUGGCGAACGGGUGAGUAACACGUGAGUAACCUGCCCUUGACUUUGGGAUAACUUCAGGAAACUGGGGCUAAUACCGGAUAGGAGCUCCUGCUGCAUGGUGGGGGUUGGAAAGUUUCGGCGGUUGGGGAUGGACUCGCGGCUUAUCAGCUUGUUGGUGGGGUAGUGGCUUACCAAGGCUUUGACGGGUAGCCGGCCUGAGAGGGUGACCGGCCACAUUGGGACUGAGAUACGGCCCAGACUCCUACGGGAGGCAGCAGUGGGGAAUAUUGCACAAUGGGCGGAAGCCUGAUGCAGCAACGCCGCGUGCGGGAUGACGGCCUUCGGGUUGUAACCCGCUUUCGCCUGUGACGAAGCGUGAGUGACGGUAAUGGGUAAAGAAGCACCGGCUAACUACGUGCCAGCAGCCGCGGUGAUACGUAGGGUGCGAGCGUUGUCCGGAUUUAUUGGGCGUAAAGGGCUCGUAGGUGGUUGAUCGCGUCGGAAGUGUAAUCUUGGGGCUUAACCCUGAGCGUGCUUUCGAUACGGGUUGACUUGAGGAAGGUAGGGGAGAAUGGAAUUCCUGGUGGAGCGGUGGAAUGCGCAGAUAUCAGGAGGAACACCAGUGGCGAAGGCGGUUCUCUGGGCCUUUCCUGACGCUGAGGAGCGAAAGCGUGGGGAGCGAACAGGCUUAGAUACCCUGGUAGUCCACGCUGUAAACGGUGGGUACUAGGUGUGGGGUCCAUUCCACGGGUUCCGUGCCGUAGCUAACGCUUUAAGUACCCCGCCUGGGGAGUACGGCCGCAAGGCUAAAACUCAAAGGAAUUGACGGGGCCCCGCACAAGCGGCGGAGCAUGCGGAUUAAUUCGAUGCAACGCGUAGAACCUUACCUGGGUUUGACAUGGAUCGGGAGUGCUCAGAGAUGGGUGUGCCUCUUUUGGGGUCGGUUCACAGGUGGUGCAUGGCUGUCGUCAGCUCGUGUCGUGAGAUGUUGGGUUAAGUCCCGCAACGAGCGCAACCCUUGUUCACUGUUGCCAGCACGUUAUGGUGGGGACUCAGUGGAGACCGCCGGGGUCAACUCGGAGGAAGGUGGGGAUGACGUCAAGUCAUCAUGCCCCUUAUGUCCAGGGCUUCACGCAUGCUACAAUGGCUGGUACAGAGAGUGGCGAGCCUGUGAGGGUGAGCGAAUCUCGGAAAGCCGGUCUCAGUUCGGAUUGGGGUCUGCAACUCGACCUCAUGAAGUCGGAGUCGCUAGUAAUCGCAGAUCAGCAACGCUGCGGUGAAUACGUUCCCGGG